This 450-nucleotide ribosomal RNA is filed under the name uncultured bacterium. Its description in RNAcentral is "partial 16S ribosomal RNA". It matches the Rfam family "Bacterial small subunit ribosomal RNA", at positions 29 to 523 of the family's 1533-position model. The record is from RNAcentral.
AGCGAACAUUGGCGGUAGGCUUAACACAUGCAAGUCGAGCGAGGCGUAAUAGUCGAGCGGCGAACGGGUGCGUAAUACAUGGGAAUCUACCCUGAAGUGGGGGAUAACGUUCAGAAAUGGACGCUAAUACCGCAUAAUCCACAUUGGGAAAGCGUUGCAGCGCUUUAGGAUGAGCCCAUGGCUGAUUAGCUAGUUGGUGAGGUAACGGCUCACCAAGGCGACGAUCAGUAGCUGGUCUGAGAGGAUGACCAGCCACACUGGAACUGAGACACGGUCCAGACUCCUACGGGAGGCAGCAGUGGGGAAUCUUGCGCAAUGGGGGCAACCCUGACGCAGCCAUACCGCGUGAGUGAUGAAGGUCUUCGGAUUGUAAAGCUCUUUCGGCGGGGACGACGAUGACGGUACCCGCAAAAGAAGUCACGGCUAACUUCGUGCCAGCCGCCGCCGUAA